RNAcentral lists this small nuclear RNA (113 nucleotides) under Physeter macrocephalus (sperm whale). Its description in RNAcentral is "Physeter catodon (sperm whale) U2 spliceosomal RNA (ENSPCTG00005001475.1)". It matches the Rfam family "U2 spliceosomal RNA". Rfam says of the family: U2 is a small nuclear RNA (snRNA) component of the spliceosome (involved in pre-mRNA splicing). Complementary binding between U2 snRNA (in an area lying towards the 5' end but 3' to hairpin I) and the branchpoint sequence (BPS) of the intron results the bulging out of an unpaired adenosine, on the BPS, which initiates a nucleophilic attack at the intronic 5' splice site, thus starting the first of two transesterification reactions that mediate splicing. Lineage: Eukaryota; Metazoa; Chordata; Mammalia; Artiodactyla; Physeteridae. The record is from RNAcentral.
AUUGCUUCUUGGUCUUUUGGCUAAGAUCAAAAGUAGUAUCUGUUCUUAUCAGUUUAAUAGCUGAUAUGUCCUCUAUCCAAGGACAAUAUAUUAUUAGAAAGGAAUGAAGUACU